AUUGAACGCUGGCGGCAGGCCUAACACAUGCAAGUCGAGCGGAUGAAGGGAGCUUUCUCCUGGCUUCAGCGGCCGACGGGUGAGUAAUGCCUAGGAAUCUGCCUGGUCGUGGGGGCUAACGUCCGGUCACGGGCGCUAAUCCCGCAUCCGUCCUGAGGGUGAACGUGGGGGAUCUUCGGACCUCACGCUAUCAGCUGAGCCUAGGUCGGAUUAGCUAGUUGGUGGGGUAAAGGCCUACCAAGGCGACGAUCCGUAACUGGUCUGAGAGGAUGAUCAGUCACACUGGAACUGAGACACGGUCCAGACUCCUACGGGAGGCAGCAGUGGGAAUUUUGGACAAUGGGCGAAAGCCUGAUCCAGCCAUGCCGCGUGUGUGAAGAAGGUCUUCGGAUUGUAAAGCACUUGAAGCUGGGAGGAAGGGCAGUAAGAUAAUACCGUGCUGUUUUGACGGGACCAACAGAAUAAGCACCGGCUAACUUCGUG
RNAcentral lists this ribosomal RNA (483 nucleotides) under uncultured bacterium. Its description in RNAcentral is "partial 16S ribosomal RNA". It matches the Rfam family "Bacterial small subunit ribosomal RNA", at positions 30 to 507 of the family's 1533-position model. The record is from RNAcentral.